This 451-nucleotide long non-coding RNA is filed under the name Elaeis guineensis (African oil palm). RNAcentral describes it as "long non-coding RNA (EGUI_LNC028365)". The record is from RNAcentral. Lineage: Eukaryota; Viridiplantae; Streptophyta; Magnoliopsida; Arecales; Arecaceae.
CCAUUGUUCAGGUUCCACUAUGCUACCAAAUUUUAUGAUAAUAUUGUAUCUUCAUCUACAAUACCUUUUUCUCCUAGGGUUUGCUUACAAAUCAUAUUUCUAAGAUUAGAAACUUGUAUAAUUCUAUCUAUAUACACACACACAUGAAUGGAGAAAGUAUGUAUGAAUGUAUCUAUGUAUGUAGAUACAUAUGUAUGUACAUGUAUAACUAUCUAUACCUGCAUAUAGAUGCUUUUAUGCAGAUAUCAUCUACUCGCAUGAGAAAGUAUGCAUGAAUGUAUCUAUGUAUCUAGAUGCAUAUGUAUGUAUAUGUAUAACUAUCUAUACCUGCAUAUAGAUGCUUUUAUGCAGAUAUCAUCUACUUGUACACAUUAACAAUUCUUUCAUUUGUGUUUAAAAGAGUCACAUAUCAUAUCAUAUUACAUCAAAUUAAUGUCUGUAUUAUGACACA